AGCUUACUGGUAGAGCACAUGUCUUGCAUAUAUGAGGCCCUGGGUUUGAUCCCCAG
This 56-nucleotide transfer RNA is filed under the name Erinaceus europaeus (western European hedgehog). It matches the Rfam family "tRNA", at positions 9 to 63 of the family's 71-position model. From Rfam's summary of the family: Transfer RNA (tRNA) molecules are approximately 80 nucleotides in length. Their secondary structure includes four short double-helical elements and three loops (D, anti-codon, and T loops). The record is from Rfam by way of RNAcentral. Lineage: Eukaryota; Metazoa; Chordata; Mammalia; Eulipotyphla; Erinaceidae.